UAACCUGCCCUGAUGAUUGGGACAACCCGAGGAAACUCGGGCUAAUACCAAAUGUGCCCUUCAGCCUCAAGGCUGCUGGGGAAAGGAAGCUUCGGCCUCCGCAUCGGGAUGGGCCCGCGGCCCAUUAGCUUGUUGGUGAGGUAAUGGCUCACCAAGGCAAUGAUGGGUAGCUGGUCUGAGAGGACGAUCAGCCACACUGGGAUUGAGAACGGCCCAG
Molecule: ribosomal RNA, 217 nt
Filed under: uncultured bacterium
Lineage: Bacteria
Description: partial 16S ribosomal RNA
Rfam family: Bacterial small subunit ribosomal RNA
Source: RNAcentral